Molecule: ribosomal RNA, 442 nt
Filed under: uncultured bacterium
Lineage: Bacteria
Description: partial 16S ribosomal RNA
Rfam family: Bacterial small subunit ribosomal RNA
Source: RNAcentral
CCUACGGGGUGCAGCAGUGGGGGAUAUUGCACAAUGGGGGAAACCCUGAUGCAGCGACGCCGCGUGGGCGAAGAAGUAUUUCGGUAUGUAAAGCCCUAUCAGCAGGGAAGAAGAAAUGACGGUACCUGAGUAAGAAGCACCGGCUAAAUACGUGCCAGCAGCCGCGGUAAUACGUAUGGUGCAAGCGUUAUCCGGAUUUACUGGGUGUAAAGGGAGCGCAGGCGGCACGGCAAGCCUGAUGUGAAAGCCCGCGGCCCAACCGCGGGACUGCAUUGGGAACUACCGGGCUGGAGUGCCGGAGAGGUAGGCGGAAUUCCUAGUGUAGCGGUGAAAUGCGUAGAUAUUAGGAGGAACACCAGUGGCGAAGGCGGCUUACUGGACAGUAACUGACGUUGAGGCUCGAAAGCGUGGGGAGCAAACAGGAUUAGAUACCCGGGUAGUC